RNAcentral lists this ribosomal RNA (58 nucleotides) under uncultured zygomycete. RNAcentral describes it as "partial 28S ribosomal RNA". It matches the Rfam family "Eukaryotic large subunit ribosomal RNA", at positions 1 to 57 of the family's 3401-position model. The record is from RNAcentral. Lineage: Eukaryota; Fungi.
UCGAUCUCAGAUCAAGUAAGACUACCCGCUGAACUUAAGCAUAUCAAUAAGCGGAGGA